Molecule: ribosomal RNA, 497 nt
Filed under: uncultured bacterium
Lineage: Bacteria
Description: partial 16S ribosomal RNA
Rfam family: Bacterial small subunit ribosomal RNA
Source: RNAcentral
GAUGAACGCUGGCGGCGUGCCUAAUACAUGCAAGUCGAGCGAACGGACGAGAAGCUUGCUUCUCUGAUGUUAGCGGCGGACGGGUGAGUAACACGUGGAUAACCUACCUAUAAGACUGGGAUAACUUCGGGAAACCGGAGCUAAUACCGGAUGAUAUUUUGAACCGCAUGGUUCAAAAGUGAAAGACGGUCUUGCUGUCACUUAUAGAUGGAUCCGCGCUGCAUUAGCUAGUUGGUAAGGUAACGGCUUACCAAGGCAACGAUGCAUAGCCGCCCUGAGAGGGUGAUCGGCCACACUGGAACUGAGACACGGUCCAGACUCCUACGGGAGGCAGCAGUAGGGAAUCUUCCGCAAUGGGCGAAAGCCUGACGGAGCAACGCCGCGUGAGUGAUGAAGGUCUUCGGAUCGUAAAACUCUGUUAUUAGGGAAGAACAUAUGUGUAAGUAACUGUGCACAUCUUGACGGUACCUAAUCAGAAAGCCACGGCUAACUACGUG